UACGGAGGGUGCAAGCGUUAUCCGGAUUCACUGGGUUUAAAGGGUGUGUAGGCGGGCUAUUAAGUCAGUGGUGAAAUCUCCGGGCUCAACCCGGAAACUGCCAUUGAUACUAUUAGUCUUGAAUUCUGUUGAGGUAGGCGGAAUAUAUCAUGUAGCGGUGAAAUGCUUAGAUAUGAUAUAGAACACCGAUUGCGAAGGCAGCUUACUAAACAGAUAUUGACGCUGAGGCACGAAAGCGUGGGGAUCAAACAGG
RNAcentral lists this ribosomal RNA (253 nucleotides) under uncultured bacterium. RNAcentral describes it as "partial 16S ribosomal RNA". It matches the Rfam family "Bacterial small subunit ribosomal RNA", at positions 524 to 776 of the family's 1533-position model. The record is from RNAcentral.